This 253-nucleotide ribosomal RNA is filed under the name uncultured bacterium. RNAcentral describes it as "partial 16S ribosomal RNA". It matches the Rfam family "Bacterial small subunit ribosomal RNA", at positions 524 to 776 of the family's 1533-position model. The record is from RNAcentral.
GACGAACCGUGCAAACGUUAUUCGGAAUCACUGGGCAUAAAGGGCGCGUAGGCGGCUCGAAAAGUCAGGGGUGAAAUCCGGCAGCUUAACUGUCGCAGUGCCUUUGAUACUGUCGAGCUCGAGGGAGGUAGGGGUCUGUGGAACUUCCGGUGGAGCGGUGAAAUGCGUUGAUAUCAGGAAGAACACCCGUGGCGAAGGCGGCUCUCUGGGACGGUACUGACGCUGAGACGCGAAAGCGUGGGGAGCGAACAGG